ACUUUACAAUGCAGGCAACUGUGAUAAGGGAACCCCGAGUGCCCGUAUGGACGGGCUGUUCAGGUGCUUAAAAACCACCUGGAGAAAGGGCCGGGCAAGACCGGUGCCAGCCGCCGCGGUAAUACCGGCGGCUCGAGUGGUGGCCACUAUUACUGGGCCUAAAGCGUCCGUAGCUUGGUCGUUAAGCCUCUGGGGAAAUCUUCCGGCUCAACCGGCAGGCGUCUAGGGGGAACUGUCUGGCUCGAGACCGGGAGAGGUGAGAGGUACUUCAGGGGUAGGAGUGAAAUCCUGCAAUCCUCGAGGGACCACCAGUGGCGAAGGCGUCUCACCAGAACGGACCUGACGGCAAGGGACGAAAGCUAGGGGCACGAACCGG
Molecule: ribosomal RNA, 376 nt
Filed under: uncultured archaeon
Lineage: Archaea
Description: bacterial SSU rRNA
Rfam family: Archaeal small subunit ribosomal RNA
Source: RNAcentral